UGUCUUCGGGGCGGGGUGCAAUUCCCCACUGGCGGUAAUCCGAUUUGUCGGAAAGCCCGCGACCGGCGCGUUUGCGCCGCUGAUCUGGUGUGAUUCCAGGGCCAACGGUAUAGUCCGGAUGGAAGAAGC
Molecule: non-coding RNA, 129 nt
Filed under: Candidatus Heritagella intestinalis
Lineage: Bacteria; Bacillati; Bacillota; Clostridia
Description: FMN riboswitch (RFN element)
Rfam family: FMN riboswitch aptamer (RFN element)
About the family: The RFN element is a highly conserved domain that is found frequently in the 5'-untranslated regions of prokaryotic mRNAs that encode for flavin mononucleotide (FMN) biosynthesis and transport proteins. This element is a metabolite-dependent riboswitch that directly binds FMN in the absence of proteins.
Source: RNAcentral